CUGGGGGGAAAUGUGUCUCGUCGACCCGACUUCUGGAAGGGUUAGUAUUUAUUAAGAUCAUCAAGCCAAUAUUCCUCGUGUCUAUUGUGGUGAAUCAUAGUAACUGAUCGAACCCCUUCUUGGGGUAAAUCAUUCAAGUUUCUGCCCUAUCAGCUUUCGAUGGUAGUGUAUUGGACUACCAUGGCAGUCACGGGUAACGGAGAAUUAGGGUUCGGUUCCGGAGAGGGAGCCUGAGAAACGGCUACCACUUCUAAGGAAGGCAGCAGGCGCGUAAAUUACCCAAUCCUGAUUCAGGGAGGUAGUGACAAGAAAUAACAACCUGGAAGACUUUGUCUUUACAGGAUUGUAGUGAGAACAAUCUAAAAACUUUAUCGAGAACCAUUGGAGGGCAAGUCUGGUGCCAGCAGCCGCGGUAAUUCCAGCUCCAAUAGCGUAUAUUAAAGUUGUUGCAGUUAAAAAGCUCGUAGUUGAAUUUCUGUACAUUCCCGGUGCCGGCUCUUGUCGAACCGUGGAGUGUGCAUCCGCUUACAAACUUAGCCCGGUCUUCAUUGGUCGACUAAGGGAGUAGGCCCUUUACUUUGAAAAAAUUAGAGUGUUUCAAGCAGGCAAUGGCUCGAAUACAUUAGCAUGGAAUAAUGGAAUAGGACU
Molecule: ribosomal RNA, 648 nt
Filed under: Metanophrys sinensis
Lineage: Eukaryota; Ciliophora; Oligohymenophorea; Philasterida; Orchitophryidae
Description: SSU rRNA
Rfam family: Eukaryotic small subunit ribosomal RNA
Source: RNAcentral